GGGUAGCGGCCCGAGAGGUGGGGCGGAGUCUCUCCCGGCUGCCCCGCCCCGCCCGGCUGGAGCGACUUCGCCCCUGGCGGGAGGGGGCGGAGGCUAAGGGCCCAGCCGCAGGAAGCGGGCGGACGCGUGCUCGGGCCAGUACCACUUCGGCGGGCCCCGUCCUGGGAGCAGAGUGACUUUCGCUCGCUUUGAGCAAGCUGUUCCAGAUGAGAGGGGCCCCAUCAAGCUCCUUCCCUGCGAACUACGCUCAGCACCUCAGCAUCAAGCCGCUGUAGCUUUGGACUGUGUCUGUGAGCAUCUGUGCUUGUAUCUGGAUUUAUUGGGUGCAUCUAUUAGUAAGAUGUGUCCUAAGAAUAGCCUAAGAGAAGCUGUAUUUUGGGUCUGGGAAUGCUGAAAAACUUUUCCACAGAAAUUAAUGGUAAUUGCUUCUUUGCUUUCUGCCAUUUUGGUUUCAUAGGAACACUCUACUUUGAGAAAGCAUGAGAAACCUGUAGUACCCACAUCACUCGGCUUUGUUCCCCUCUAGAAAGUCACCAGUGACAUGCAGAUUGCAAAUCCACUGGCCUGCCCUCUGUUCUUGUCCUCACUGACUGCUCUGUGUUACUUGACACUGGUGACUAGUCUUUCCUUGAAAUUUUAACCUCCUUUUGGCUUUAGAGCCCUCUGCUUUCAUCACCUCUCUGUCUUUGAUCUCUCUUUCUUAGGCUCUUUCACUAUACUUUUUCUCCUCUCCCUUUACAUGUGAUUCCAUAUGCUGAUGAGCUUUUAUUCAUUUAUUUUCUCUGUGCAGACUCCCUGUUACCUGUAGCUGAAGCCUGCUGGGUCUCUGUCACUGUUCUUAACUCUCUUCAGGUCUCCACAUGUUUUAUUUCCAGCCACUUGUGGGGUCUCAACCACCUGGAUAUUCCAAAGACACCUGCCAUUCUUCACAUCUAAAAUGAGAAUUCGUCAUCUUUUCUAACCAUCAGUCUAUCCCCUCCUUCCCAUCCAGUUUCUUCUUCACUCUGAAUCUCACAUCUUGAAUUUGGGUCUUAUGGUGUGUUGCAAAAGCUAAACAUUUAAGGGCUUUAGAACCAUAUUACUAUGCUUAUACAGGGCCCACCUGAUAAACAUUUCUGCCAUGGUACAAAAGACUCUGCGAGAGGUCUAGAGGAAUGUAUAAACCUUAUGGACCUUGUGAGAGGAAGCCAGCCAGCCAGCUGUGGAGCUGCUCAGGCACCGCAGAUCACUCCAGGGGCCAGUGGCAGAAGGACCUUCAGUUGAGGUGACUGUACUAUUCUAGUAGCCUCACUGCCAGAAGUUUCUACUACUGUAAGUAGAACCAUGAAGAUGUGGUCAGAGACCUGUUAUGCUCCGAGGAAUGCCUUAUUGUAGUUCACACUGACUUCAGUUACUUGUAUAAACUGGACUUCCUUGGUAUAGAAAGGUCCUAAAAACUGUACCCAAUUAACUUUGUAUCACGCUUUCCAAUUUAUAAUGCACUCACACACAUAUUAUUUAAAAAAAUUUUUUUAACGUUUAUUCAUUUUUUGAGAGACAGAGAGACAGAGCGUGAGCAGGGAAGGGGCAGAGAGAGGGAGACACAGAAUCCGAAGCAGGCUUCAGCCUCUGAGCUGUCAGCACAGAGCCCAACGUGGGGCUUGAACUCAUGAACUGUGAGAUCAUGACCUGAGCCGAAGUCGGAUGCUCAACCGACUGAGCCACCCAGGUGCCCCUUGCACACAUAUUAUUUAAGAAAAAAGAAAUGGUGUCAGAGAAAGGCGGUCUGAGAGCACAUUCAUAUGCUGUUCUGGAGAGACUGAGUUUGACAGUCUGACCACCUUUUGAGAAACACUAGUGGUGGUUCCAAACUGAGUGUUUCUUGGAAUCACAGAGAGCACCUAUUAAGAAUACUGCCUCUGGUGUCCCCCACCUCCUAGAAUGUCUGAUUAAUUAGGUGAGGGGUAGGAUCUGUGCUCAGAGUCUGAGGAAUUUAAAUUCUACAGGUGAUUCAGCGCUAGCAGGCCCACAGACUGGCACCAGGGAACUGCUACCUGGAGAUAUAUGCUCCAUAGGGCGAGACCAUGUCACUUUGUUCAUCACCCCUAACCUGGAGCCUGGCACAUGGCAGGUGCUCAGUAUGAGUUUCUUGACUCUUUCUUACUGUCACUUUCUUUCUGCCCCCUUCUCCAUUACACUCCGUUCAGUGUUCUCUAGCACGGUACAGAGGGGAAACAUCUGGCAAUGAGUGAAGCAUAAGGUGGUCCUUCCUGAAAUGCUUGAGGGGACUCUAGAAUACCUACGUUCAUUGCUGAAUGUGUCUUCCUCAUACUAGAGGAAGUUUGAAAUAAAUGUUUUCUGUUCCUUUAAAAAAUGCUAUAUAUUGAUAAUAAGGAAAGUCAGUGCUUAACUUCAUCUUCGCCCUCCCUCUCAAGUAUCCAACUGGUACCCCCUUCCACGCCUCUCCUGUACUUAAUGUUUGUGCUUCUUUUCUUACCACCCAAGUGCCUGAAUCCUUGAGCUGCUUUCCCCAGACCCGCUGGCCAUCUGUUUUACAGUUAACACUGCCACCCCCCCAACUUAAAUAGUGAAAAAAGCCAAAUGUGAUCAAAUGUCCCAUUGAAUCUUCACAACAACCCUUUGAGGCUGGUGACAUUCUUACCAUUCCACAGAUAAGGAAAGUGAGAUUCAGGAUGAUUCUGACACUUCAACUGGCAAAUGGUGAUGCUGGGGUUUGAACUAAGGGUGAUAUAACUCCAGAGCUGGUGCUUUUAACCUCGAUGCAAUGAUGUAGAAUUUUAUUUAAGUGAAAUCAUGGGAUAUUCUGAGGCUAUAAAUCAUUUAUUCUCUGCAGAAAAGAAGAGGAACAUCAGUGUUCUAGGAGAGAACUUUGGUCUAUCACCGUCUAGAAUUCCUUAUUCACUUAUUUUCAGGGCUUCUUCUCCCUAAUCAUAGAAUAAAAAACCCCUGAUGCAGCCCUGUAGUUUAGGUAAACAUCGGUAAAGAUGCUCCUCAUCCUGGGGGAUAAAAAUAUUGGAAGUUGGGGGCAGUAAUGUCAUUGUUCUGAGGCUGCUGCUCCUGACUUGAUUUUUUUUUUUUUCCCCAAGAAAAUGGUUUGGUAACAUCAACAAAUGAGAGUUAGAAAAACAGCAAAUUUGUCACUAGUUGGGCUCAUUUCUGUUUCCAGUUUAUGAGGAGACUGCUUUCAUGGUUAGAUUAACUACUAUUUAAAAAUCUUACUACGGCCCCUCUGCCCUUGUGCUCUCUUCAUUCUUUUCCACCCAUUAGUCACUUUGUCCUUCAUUCGGGGUAUUUCUUUUUGACCCGUCUUAUAGUCACUGUAAAAGCAGUGCGUUCCCCAAACUCAUUUUUCCUAAGCUACAAAGCAGACUCACUGUAUGCAUAGCAUCCACCUGGGCCCUCUACCUGUUGUCCCCACAGGGAACCAAUGUGACAUUAUUUUCAUGCUACUUGCUGUGUAUGAGUAAUAAAAUACUUUAUCUCUGACCCAAGAAUCUUGUGUCUUCUGCCAACAUCCAUGAAACAGUAAGAGGCUUAUUUAUUAGCUUGUGUACGGUAAAAUCUUAGUUGCUGACACUUUUGGUGACGUGAUGGGAUGCUGGCAGAGACAAUCCUUUCUGGAAGACCCUAUGGGUUAUGUUAGUGGGCAAGAGAGGACUUCCAGGAUCUAGUAGCAAAUGCUGUUACCCAAGUGGUGAUCAAGGGGCACAGUAAGUGUCCUCCACUGCCAUCCUGUUAAUGUUUAUUUAGAAGCUAAGUGAUAAGAAACAGGGUUGAAACAAUUUACCCAAACGAUGUUUUGGUUGUGCUCACUCUCCUCGAGAGUAGAAUGAGAAAGGGAUGUUAUAUGACAGUGGGGUGGCCAAAAGUGGCUGUAGCUGCUGAGUCAAGGAAUCCCCAAAGUUUAAAUAAAUGCUGUCAACAAUAUGGAGAUAGAAACUUAAGUGGAUCAAAAACAAGUGUUGAUUUGGAUGAGCCCAAGCUGUGGGCUUGAAACUGGAAGUUGAUGCAAGGCCUUGUUUAUGGACAAGGAAUUGCUCUGUCCCUCUGCACCUCCUGACCCUUCCCCUCCCCCAUUUCCCAACUUCUGCUGCUUUCAGGAAAAAGCUGAGUAUGCUUGGGGAACUUCAAGAAGGGGGAAGCUCAAAUAUUUUUAGCUCUGUUGUGCAUAAUUGCCCAGGUUACAAUUCUGCUCAGUUAGUGGAGGGGGUUGGGGUGCUGGAUGCAAGGGUAGCUGAAGGCACUGAGGACUGUGGAGGAAGCUGCAUAAUAUGAGCAAGGAAACUGGUACCAAGCCUGUCUUGAGGAGACCAAGGAUUUAAAAAAAAGCCAUCCUCCAAAGCCUUACCUCCUCCUCUCCCAUCUGCAUCCCCUUACCUUCUGGACUUCCCUUUAUAUGCCUAUUAGGCUUCUUAAUCCAUUGGUCCAUGUUCCCAUAGUGUAGUGGUCCUCAGCCAGGGUGAUUUAGUCCCCCCUUCCGACCCUAAGACAUUUGACAAUGUCUAGAGAUAUCUUUGACUGUCACGACUAAAAGAGGGAGAGUGUGUUCUACUGGCAUUUAGUGGAUAGGAGCAGGGAUGCCGUAAAUAUCCUACAGUGCACAGGAUGCGUUCCCCAAACAAUGAUCCUACCCAAAACGUUAGUACUGCCAAGAUUGGGAUCCUUGCUGGGGGCUGGGGGUGGGGGGAGCAUCCAAAAAUCAACUGAUGGGGUUUGGACAACUUUUUCUGUGAAGAAGGAAAAUUAAAGUGACCUGGUAGGGCGGGCUUUUUGGGCUGAUUCAAUGUACUACUGUCUUUCAUUGCCGAAUGUAUAACUGAUAUUUAUGUUGUAUGUGCUUGCAUUGUGAAUACUUAGGAAGUCCAGAAGGGAUUCUUCUAUUCGAAGACUGUGGUAGAGAGGUAAUCUCUGUCUUCUUACUGGUGGUCUAGCAAAAAGAAUAUAAAAUCUGAGAAGAAAAGGAAAUCACAGCUUUAGACCGCUAUUGCACAAGUCAGAAAGGCAAUUCCCUAGUACAACAUCGCCACCUGCCGACCCAGGCAUCAAGUGCACCUCUUUUAAAAAAGCUGGGGUUUGGGAAGUAGAUGCAGCUGUUGACCUGUUGCCAAGCUCUUGUUGAAAAAGAAACAGGAACCCUCCUGCACUGUUGGUGGGAAUGCAAACUGGUGUAGCUGCUCUGGAAAAAAGUGUGGAGGGUCCUCAAAAAAUUAAAAACAGAACUACCUACGACCCAGCAAUAGCACUGCUGGGAAUUUACCCGAGGGAUACAGGAGUGCUGAUGCAUAAGGGCAUGUGUACCCCAGUGUUUAUAGAAGCUCUUUCAACAAUAGCCAAAUUAUGGAAAGAGCCUAAAUGUCCAUCAGCUGAUGAAUGGAUAAAGAAAUUGUGGUUUAUAUAUACAUUGGAAUACUACUUGGCAAUGAGAAAGAAUGAAAUCCUGCUGUUUGCAGCAAUGUGGAAGGAACUGGAAGGUAUUAUGCUGAGUGAAAUAAGUCAGAGAAGGACAGAUGUCAUAUGUUUUCACUCAUAUGUGGAUCUUGAGAAACUGAAUGAGCACUGGGUGUUGUAUGUAAGCCAAUUUGACAAUAAAUUAUAUUAAAAAAAAAAAGACCUAUAAAGACCUGUGACUCUGCAGCCUGAGGUCCCCAUUUUGGGUGGGUUAACUCAGGCUUGACAACCAAUAAGGAAAAGGCCCAAUAUAUCUCACUUGUCAAAUUGGAAAGUUUUUCCUCACUUGGAAAUUGGGUAUUUAAGGACCAAGUAGCCUGGCCCUAGCAGCAUCUCAGUUUAUAUGAAAAAGUGGUAGCUGUUGCUUUGGGGAAACUGUACUCACAUGAUACCACCUGAAGUAAAGCCCCUGGCUAAAUGGUGUCCUUAGUUCACAGAGGUGCACCUUAAUGCUGGGGCCUGGCUCACUGAUGGUCUGGCUAAGUUCAAACCUGUUAGGGGAGAGGGGAGGCUGGAGCUGUUCAACUGCUGCUCUGUAUAUGCCAUACUGAAAAUUGGCAUUGUUAUUCACUCACUGCAUAGAACUCAAGGCCAUUUUCAUAACUCUGGCCAAUAUUCCCUAUGAUGAAACAUAUUUUUUACUGACUCUUGGGAUAGUAGCCAUGAUUUAGCGGCCUGGUCUGUUAUCUGGUCCACCCCUUGGAAGACUAUAGACUGAUGGAUUAAACGACCCUGGCACCUGUGGUAGGAACAUCUGAGACUACAGAUAUACAAGGGAGGAGGCCAUAAAUAUUCUCUUUGUCGCCUAGAUCGAACACCAUCACUCAAGUCAAACAGCAGAUGCACUUGACAGGUUGUGGAUGUGACUGAUCAUAAAUGAUACUGCUGUGCCUGUGCGUCAAUAGCAGCUCUCAACAUGGAGCCCCUCUAGACAGGUACAAACACAUGGACUGGCACAACCUCACUUCAUUCUGUUACAAAAUCACGUGCUUCUCUGAUGCUUGAGAGGGAUAUGCCACAUAUAGAAAAGGAAAUUACAACCAUUCAGUGACACUGCCCAUGUGACUUAACCAAGCUAAUGUAGCAAUGUUGAUCCAAAUCAAGUUUAAUGACAAAUCCUGUUAGGAGUGACCUGUGCCUGCUUGGGUUAUAUGCUUGUAUGUGGCUAGAAAUGGGCCAAGGAAUCUCUCUCCAUUAGGGAUAGAUGUUGUUUUUUGGCUCAUCUAUUGCCUCCUGUAAUUAUUAGCAAUGACACCAAAGAUCAGCAGGUUAGUGAAAUGAAUAAUGGAUGGGCCUUAGGCUAGACUACAUCCUGACUGUCUGAAAUAGAGUCCUCUGGUCUUCCCUGGGACAGUCACCUGGGUCUAGGACUCUGGAACGCAUAUUUGAGGUCAAUACUUGAGGUUAAUUUCAUCUUGUUGUUUGGAGUCCCGAUGAUAGUAGCCUUGUGUGAGAAAUUUAGUUCUAGCCUCUGUUGGUUAAAGUAAUCAGAAUGGCCAAUAGAGUGACAUACUUUUGUGACAGUUUGCUAGAAGCCAAGACAGGUAGGGGCAACAGGUGGAUUGAUGGGGAAAACAAUCUUCCACAGGUCCUGAACAUCCCUGCACAUUUUUGCUAGGUAUGCCAAGAAUUCAAAUUCCUUCCUGACUAUUCUUUCCUAAUGCCAUUUCUCUGGGUUGUGUUUAUAGUGAACACCGUGAGGGUUGAAGUUAUAUCAAGUCAUAUGUUUGCUUCUAAAUUAUUGGGUGUGUGUGUGAAUAAUUGAGUGAGAGUGUAGGUGAACCAUAUCAUCUAAAAAUUUGUAAUUGUUGAGGCUGGGUCAUAGGUACAUGUGGGUUCAAAGUACAGGCUCUCUUACCACUUACUAUAAAAACAGUAGAUUCCCAAGUGUGUUCCUUGUUAGCAAUACAAACUCAUUGUAUGUAUUAUAUCCUUCUGGGCCCCUCUAUGUUACCCCCAUGGGAUCUGGGAUAAGGCUCAUGCUGCUUGUUGUGUCAUGAGUAAUAAAGUCCUCUUCUGUGA
Long non-coding RNA from Acinonyx jubatus (cheetah), 7470 nucleotides. RefSeq lists it as uncharacterized. NCBI's taxonomy places the organism in Eukaryota, Metazoa, Chordata, Mammalia, Carnivora, Felidae. The record is from RefSeq and is a predicted model, not a curated record. The transcript is spliced from 2 exons.